UGGAUAGAAUAUUCCUGCCAAAAGACAGCAGAAGGGGGACUAACUGAUGUAUGGAUUUUGACACCAGAUUUUACCCUGCACGAGCAGCCCAACUUGAGUAGAUCAGGAGUGGGAAAACUGAGCCCUGUCCUUGACCAAGGAAAGUUGGAUUUGUUGAGAGGACCUGAUCUCAAAUGAGAUCAUGCACAAGACGCACCUCGCAAAGGCCAUGACAGUAUAGUUUUCAGACCUGAUCAGCUGGUGACUGCUCUAUGAAGUGCUGUUCAACCUCCCCUAAGGGGGAGAUUCGAGAGGGUCUCCUGAUUGCUGAACACUACGCCAUGGUUGUUGUCAUCUCCAAAAAGUUUGCCCUGCCCAUAUCAACAGUGGAAGAGAACAUGAGAUGGGCCUUGAGGAGGCUUCGUGUCAUGUACUGCGGGGAGAAUAUAUAAACUGUUUAGUGCUGAGCAAUAUGUUCCUUUGUUCAUAGGUGUAAAUAUGUGUAAAGGGCUAUUCCAGGAAAAGAUAGGAUGAAGGAUUCCUUAAUGUUGUCAUUUUAUAAAUCCGGUACCACCAACACAGUUAAAAACAAUUAUUAUUAAUUUUAUCCUCUGUAUCACCCCUCACUAACUGAAACUGUAUAUAAUCAUGGUUCAUACCCUUCCUCCCAUUUUUACCUGUGGUAGCCCAAAGAGGAGAAUGUUAUUUAUUUUAAUUUAUUAUGUUAAAUGUGCUCGCAUAUUGUGAUAAUGUAUCUUGGGUAGAUGUUUUCCUGGUUUUGUUAAAAAUGCACUGUAAAAAUGUUCACAUUAUUUGUUUUUUUUAAUAUAAACAUUGUUUUUUGCAAA
Dreissena polymorpha is the source of this 827-nucleotide long non-coding RNA. RefSeq lists it as uncharacterized. Lineage: Eukaryota; Metazoa; Mollusca; Bivalvia; Myida; Dreissenidae. The record is from RefSeq and is a predicted model, not a curated record. The transcript has 3 exons.